RNAcentral lists this ribosomal RNA (253 nucleotides) under uncultured prokaryote. RNAcentral describes it as "partial 16S ribosomal RNA". It matches the Rfam family "Bacterial small subunit ribosomal RNA", at positions 525 to 777 of the family's 1533-position model. The record is from RNAcentral.
ACAGAGGUGGCAAGCGUUGUUCGGAAUUACUGGGCGUAAAGCGCGUGUAGGCGGCUCUUCAAGUCAAGCGUGAAAGCCCCGGGCUCAACUCGGGAACUGCGCUUGAUACUGUCGAGCUAGAGUGUGGAAGGGGCGAUUGGAAUUCCGUGUGUAGCGGUGAAAUGCGUAGAUAUCGAGAGGAACACCUGCGGCGAAGGCGGGUUGCUGGGCUGACACUGACGCUGAUGCGCGAAAGCCAGGGGAGCGAACGGGA